GAGGGUAGAGUAUACACAGACCAUACCACUACCUUAGGAGACGUAGAGAGGCUAUUUCUGAUAGACCCCUGGCUUAGGACCGAUAACAAUAUAACAAACACAAAAAAUAAGUGCAUAUAAACUAGUAUAUACGCAAGACAAACUAACAGUAUAACAAACACAAAAGAUAAGUUCAUAUAAACUAGUAUGGUAUGAAAAAUAAACUAACACCGC
RNAcentral lists this long non-coding RNA (213 nucleotides) under Capsicum annuum. RNAcentral describes it as "long non-coding RNA (CANN_LNC004633)". The record is from RNAcentral. Lineage: Eukaryota; Viridiplantae; Streptophyta; Magnoliopsida; Solanales; Solanaceae.